This 182-nucleotide ribosomal RNA is filed under the name Blautia intestinalis. RNAcentral's name for it is "partial 23S ribosomal RNA". It matches the Rfam family "Bacterial large subunit ribosomal RNA", at positions 2745 to 2925 of the family's 2925-position model. The record is from RNAcentral. Lineage: Bacteria; Bacillati; Bacillota; Clostridia; Lachnospirales; Lachnospiraceae.
GUAGCCAAGCCCGGAAGGGAUAAACGCUGAAGGCAUCUAAGCGUGAAGCCCCCCUCAAGAUGAGAUAUCCCAUCCGAAAGGAGUAAACCCCCUUGAAGACGACGAGGUUGAUAGGGCAGGGGUGGAAGUGUGGUAACACAUGGAGCUGACUGCUACUAAUAGGGUGAGGGCUUGACCAAGAA